This is a long non-coding RNA of Elgaria multicarinata webbii, 1977 nucleotides long. RefSeq lists it as uncharacterized. The transcript is spliced from 2 exons. NCBI's taxonomy places the organism in Eukaryota, Metazoa, Chordata, Lepidosauria, Squamata, Anguidae. The record is from RefSeq and is a predicted model, not a curated record.
UGCCAAGGAAAUGGCUGAGCUUCGGUUAAUCUAAGCGCUUAGAUUGCGUUGAGUGCAAUUUGGCGAAAGCACUUUUGCCCCCCUCCCCCCAGCUUAGGGGGCUGUGAUAACUUGCUAUGCACAGGUGUCUAUCGGGUGGGGGCGGGCAGAGGGUAUGUAAUUACAAAUUUGGGUGCCUUGGUGCUUUUGAGUGAUGGGGUCCAUCCUAAGGACACCCCGAUUUCCUUCUUGGUCACUGCUUGUGGAAAUGUAAAUUUAUUGGAUCUGGCUGCUUCAUCGUAUCUGCAACGGCUUGAUCUACAAGUUCAUGUUUGUUAGGAGCGUUCUCCGAGAUGAUGGGUGUGAUGGAGGGCGGGGUGUUAUUGCCUGAACAGGCCUGUAUGCAGACUUGAAUUAUGCUUGGCUAGUUCAAUCAGAAUCAGGAGUCCAAGCUAAGGGUAGUGUUAAGGAAAUGGGAGCUUCAAAUCGAACGACCAGUCCAACGCUGGAAUGUCCCGUGUGAUUGAUUCGAACUCGGAACCUGUAGAUGUCAGAAUGCAGGCUGGGAGGCGCGAGGCACUUCAGGAGCUCAAAGAUAACAGCGAGGGGAAGUGGUGGCAGAUGGAGAAUUUGGAAAUUUGUCUGCUCAACUAGAAGCCUGGGGAUGAGCUCACUUCUAGUUCUGGGUUUUUUACAACCACAUAGGAUCUCCCAUGUUCUUGGAGUUGUGUAGGCACAGUAACUCUUUCCUCAUUCAUGUCAUUUGGGGAUUUAUUUUUAAACCAUCCUCCUUGUUUUGUGUAGAUAUUUUAACAAAGGCGGACCAUUUUUAAAAUAAUAAUAAUAAUAAUAAUAAUAAUAAUAAUGAAAAGUUGUGUUUACUGCUGGGAUAUGACGGGUAUUUUGUAAGAAGAAAUCGAAUUGCAUUGUAAGCUUUAACAAGAAAAUGGUGGAAAUGCAGUAUUUUUUAUUAUGACGGAAAAUCUGUUCCCUGUCCUUCCUCCUCCAGGUGUCUGUAGCGGUGGGGUUGUAUCCUGACCCAGGCACUGUGGUGCUCGAAUUGACUUCCAUUUCCCAUUCUUUUCUAUGAUCCUGGAGUGCAGAUCUAUCAAGGAAAAGGCUUGGGGACACCUCCAGGUUGCCUUUGCCACGGGUGCUGGGGGAAACCGGUGUUUAACGAAGCCACGAUCCUAGGCACCUACGCUUGGAAAUAAACCCUACUGAACUCAGUAGUGCUUACUUCUGAGUAGAAAAGCCUAGAAUUGGACUGCACCCAUUUUAAAAGAACAACCUUAAAUCAGCCACUAGACUGAAAAGCGGCAGAAGUGGGUUAUCCCUCGAAAACAGGUGGGCAGCUGAUGACCUUCCAUAUUUUGGGGCCUACAACUCCCGUCAGCCAUCAGAGCCACUGGUGAUAGUAGGGUGACCAUUUGAAAAGGAGGACAGGGCUCCUGAAAAGGGCAUUUCAGCAGGUGCCAAUUGUAUGCAUGCGGCAUCUGGUGAAAUGCCCUCUUCAUCACCACAGUUAAAGCUGUAGGAGCUAUAGUACAGUGAGCAGAUACAAAAGAGGGCAGGGCUCCUGCAGCUUUAACUAUUGUGAUGAAGAGGAAAUUUCACGCAAACAAAUAACACCAGCUGAAAUUCCCUUCUCUAUGCAACUUAAAGAUACAGGAGCCUGGUCCUCCUUUCCAUAGGGUCACCCUAGUAGAUGGCAGUUGUAAGCCAAAACAUCUGGAAGGACACAAGUUCUCCACCCCUGCCCUAAAAGGCGUAUAAAUGACGCAUUUAUUUUCUUUUUGUACUUUAAUAGAGCUCCUGGACUAAAAUCUAGCACCUCUGUCUCUUGAGUGCUGCAUCUGCGUGUUGCUGUGUGCUGUAAAUGAGAUUAAAAAUUGUAUCGCCUCUCCCGGUCUAUUUUUGACAAGCACUGAAUCUUGAUGUGUUUCCCCGCCGCCCCCAUUAUACUGUUUUUAAAUAAAGCAAAAAGGAUGUGUUCAA